RNAcentral lists this ribosomal RNA (310 nucleotides) under Bacillus pseudomycoides. Its description in RNAcentral is "bacterial SSU rRNA". It matches the Rfam family "Bacterial small subunit ribosomal RNA", at positions 1 to 298 of the family's 1533-position model. The record is from RNAcentral. Lineage: Bacteria; Bacillati; Bacillota; Bacilli; Caryophanales; Bacillaceae.
UUUAUUGGAGAGUUUGAUCCUGGCUCAGGAUGAACGCUGGCGGCGUGCCUAAUACAUGCAAGUCGAGCGAAUGGAUUAAGAGCUUGCUCUUAUGAAGUUAGCGGCGGACGGGUGAGUAACACGUGGGUAACCUGCCUAUAAGACUGGGAUAACUCCGGGAAACCGGGGCUAAUACCGGAUAACAUUUUGCACCGCAUGGUGCGAAAUUCAAAGGCGGCUUCGGCUGUCACUUAUGGAUGGACCCGCGUCGCAUUAGCUAGUUGGUGAGGUAACGGCUCACCAAGGCAACGAUGCGUAGCCGACCUGAGAG